Molecule: transfer-messenger RNA, 382 nt
Filed under: Biostraticola tofi
Lineage: Bacteria; Pseudomonadati; Pseudomonadota; Gammaproteobacteria; Enterobacterales; Bruguierivoracaceae
Description: Standard tmRNA
Rfam family: transfer-messenger RNA
About the family: Bacterial tmRNA, also known as 10Sa RNA or SsrA, is named for its dual tRNA and mRNA-like properties. Its role is to liberate the mRNA from a stalled ribosome.
Source: Rfam by way of RNAcentral
GGGGCUGAUUCUGGAUUCGACGGGAUUGACGAAACCCAAGGUGCAUGCCGAGGUGAGGCUGGCCUCGUAAAAAGCCUCAAAAAAAAUAAUUGCAAACGACUCGCAAUUCGAACGUGCUGCUUUAGCAGCUUAAUCAGCCUAAGAAACUGAACGCUCCCUCUCUCCCUAGCCUCCGCUCUUAGGACGGGGAUCAAGAGAGGUCAAACCCAAAAGAGAUCGCGUGGAUGUCCUGCCUGGGGCUGAAGCGUUAAACUCAAUCAGGCUAGUUUGUCAGUAGCGUGUCCAUCCGCAGCUGCCAGGCGAAUGUAAUGAUUGGACUAAGCAUGUAGUACCGAGGAUGUAGAAAUUCCGGACGCGGGUUCAAAUCCCGCCAGCUCCACCA